Esox lucius (northern pike) is the source of this 326-nucleotide long non-coding RNA. RefSeq lists it as uncharacterized. The record is from RefSeq and is a predicted model, not a curated record. The transcript has 3 exons. Lineage: Eukaryota; Metazoa; Chordata; Actinopteri; Esociformes; Esocidae.
UGGAACAAAAUACCUGGGAAUAUGCCAACCAGGACUGUCUGAAUAGAGGGGCAACGCUAGUCAUCAUAAACAACCAAGAGGAACAGAAAUUCCUCAUUACAUUAAACAUAAAUACUUGGAUCGGUCUGUCUGACAUAGAGACUGAGGGGACCUGGAGAUGGGUGGAUGGCACACCUCUGACUACAGCGUACUGGGGAGCACCACAGCCUGAUAAUGGUGGUGGUACUGUAGGAGAGGAGGACUGUGCUGAGUUUGUUAAUUGGUAUACUGAUCCUGUAAAGAAAUGGAAUGAUGUUCCAUGUACCACGCAACUUAAUUGGAUUUGU